GACGAACCGUGCGAACGUUAUUCGGAAUCACUGGGCUUAAAGCGCGUGUAGGCGGGCCGGCACGUCGGCCGCUGAAAUCCCCCGGCUCAACCGGGGAACGGGCGCCGAUACGACCGGCCUGGAGCGAGGUAGGGGGCGCCGGAACUCACGGUGGAGCGGUGAAAUGCGUUGAGAUCGUGAGGAACGCCCGUGGCGAAAGCGGGCGCCUGGACCUCCGCUGACGCUGAGACGCGAAAGCCAGGGGAGCGAACGGG
This 254-nucleotide ribosomal RNA is filed under the name uncultured Singulisphaera sp. Its description in RNAcentral is "partial 16S ribosomal RNA". It matches the Rfam family "Bacterial small subunit ribosomal RNA", at positions 524 to 776 of the family's 1533-position model. Lineage: Bacteria; Pseudomonadati; Planctomycetota; Planctomycetia; Isosphaerales; Isosphaeraceae. The record is from RNAcentral.